RNAcentral lists this long non-coding RNA (6828 nucleotides) under Homo sapiens (human). RNAcentral's name for it is "HSALNT0024052". Lineage: Eukaryota; Metazoa; Chordata; Mammalia; Primates; Hominidae. The record is from RNAcentral.
GUGCCACCAGGCCUUACACCAAGAGAGCCAUUCCAGAGAAAAGUCCUUUUUCUCCUGAGAACAGUGCCAGCAGCUGGCUUCGUGACAUUCUGGAAGCCCCGUGCAAUGCUGUCAGGAGCAUAGGGAUUUUACUUUAUCUCCCUUGCUUAUGCUCCACAUAACUGAAAUAUCUCACUGGAAGCUGCAGCAGUGCUGGCCCCUUGCACAGCCAUAUGUGACCACUGCAGAACAAUCAGUUGGAGAGACAGUUUGGACUACAUGGAGGGUGGAGAUAAGGACAAAGUGAAGAAUACACAGGAACCAGUGCCUCCUCCUGGAACUAUGCAACUCCAAGCUGCUUCCAUCAGCUGCUAGGUCCAGUAGGGAGGGACCUACUGAGAGCAUUGCCAGAAAACUCAUUUCUCAGUGACACCAUUGUAAUUACUCAUUUGAUUAUCCCGCAAUACACAUAUAAGAGUCUCAGGAAAACAGUACCAUCAGCAUUAUAUGGUAAUAUCUACAAGCACUUUAAUAUUUUCUUAUUGGGGGUACACUUUUUUCCAUAGAGAAUAUUUUACUAGGUAAGAACAAUAAUAUUGAUAUGUUUUAAUUUUUCUUGAAGUGGUUCUUCUGUAUGAGGUUAUAUCACCAAGUAGAUAUACAGUUAUAAUGUUUGAUUAUUACACAUUGCUUUUCUUAAAAUUUAAUUUUGUUUUAAAGCUAUUAAAAUCAGGUUUCUUAAAGAAAGAUCCUCAUUCUAUCUGGAUCAAAAUCACUUUCAGAGCUAAUUAAAAAUGUGGUGUCCUGGACUCACGAAGCCAGAAUUGCUGAGGAGAUAGCCCGAGAAUCUGAAUUUUUAGCAGACAUUUUUUUAGGUACCUUACCCGCAGGAUCAUUUCUGUGAAUAUCCAUGAGGUGAAAAAGUCUGGGAAACACUGUCCUAGACAGGAAACGCCACGAAGUGUCUGGAUCAAAGAACAGACUAUUGCUCACAGAGCACCUUCAUAGCAUUGUUCCUCAUGCCCCCGUUGCCCAAGGGGAUGGCAGGUUGAGGACCAGAUGUACUUGCAUGUUCAGGGGAUGCAGCACAGAAGAGGAACUCCAAAAUUAUUAUUAUUAUUGUUAUUAUUAUUAUUUUUGAGAUGGAGUCUCGCUCUGUCGCCCAGCCUGGAGUGCAGUGGCGUGAUCUCGGCUCACUGCAAGCUCCGCCUCCCGGGUUCACGCCAUUCUCCUGCCUCAGCCUCCCGAGUAGCUGGGACUACAGGCACGCACCGCCACGCCCUGUUAAUUUUUUUUGUAUUUUUUUUUAGUAGAGACAGGGUUUCACCGUGUUAGCCAGGAUGGUCUUGAUCUCCUGACCUCGUGAUCCACCCGCCUCGGCCUCCCAAAGUGCUGGGAUUACAGGCGUGAGCCACCGCGCCCGGCCGAACUCCAAAAUUAUUAAACUCUGAGCGUCUGCAGGUGACUGACACAUCUGCGCUUCCUUUCUUCCAGGGUGUGGGGAAGAGCGAGAAAAAGAUUUCCGCUCUGGAAGGUAAACAAAUACUCUCUGGAGAGAGAAGAGGAAUGUCCCUAGCAGAUGUCUCCAGAGAAGACAAGACUUUAAAUUCCGCCAGGGAAAUAUACAAUGUCUAACUUCUAAGGCACAUUUGCCAUUCAAUCAUGCUUUAACCCACGUUGCCAGAAAUUUUUGCUCACUAGGUUUUGACUGUACAGGAAUGUGAAAAUAUUCAUGAAGAGUUGUUUUCCAAUGCUAAAGAAUUGAUGUGUUUUAACAGUUGAAUUAAUUGUAUUGAUUAUGAUCACACCUACUUUUUAUAUAUCUUCAUUUCUAACGUUUCUGUACAAUCCUGCCUUUCCACCUGAUAUAGUUAGGCCUUGUGUCAUCAACCAAAUCUCAUCUUGAAUUGUAAUCGCCAUAAUCCCCACGUAUUUAGGGAGAGACCUGGAGGGAGGUGUUUGGAUCAUGGGGGCGGUUUCCCGCAUGCUGUUCUCAUGACCAUGAGAGUAAGUUCUCAAGAGAUCUGAUGGUUUUAUAAGCGUCUGUCAUUUCCACUGCUUGCACUUCUGUGUCCUGCCACCUUGUGAAGAAGGACGUGGUUGCUUCCCCUUCCACCAUGAUUGUGUUUCCUGAGGCCUCCCCAGCCUUGCAGAGCUGUGAGUCAAUUAAACCUCUUUCCUUUAUAAAUUACUCAGUCUCUGUAUUCCUCUGCAGCAGUGUGAGAACAGACUAAUACAUCACCACUUUAUUUACUUUACUCUCUCCCCAUACCGAGGUUUUCUACAUUUUCUUUCUAGGUCUCUACAGUUUCUGCAAAGAUCCUUUAUGGAACUCUUAGGGAAGCUGGGAUGUAUAAUAAAUAAAGGGCUCUUUUCUUUGAGUCCCACACCCAUUUUCUGUGUAUAAAAAUCUUCAACUCCACUUUUGUCUGUUCUAUUUAAAUGUGUGCACAUUUCCUUCUAAUGUUGUAUAUGAAAAAGAGACACCUCUUAGCAGUCUUUCAUAGAGCAAAAUUUUUUACUUUGAUAAAAUCUAAUUUAUCAAUAUUUUUAAAUUUUAUGGAUCAAUCAUGCUUUUGAGGUUGAAUUUAAGAAUGCUUUGCCUAGCCCUAGAUCCCAAGUAUCUUUUAAAAAUUAUUUUUCUAAAUGCAUUAUUUAUGUUUUACACUUAAGUCUAUAAUCCAUUUUGAGUCCAUGUGUAAGAUUUAGGUUAAGGUCAAGAUUUAUCUGUUUUUGUUGUUUUCUCUAUAAAUGUCAAUUGCUCCAGCACUAUUUGUUUAAAAGCCAAUCUUUCCUCCGCUGAGUUCUUCCUAUAAGUUUGUCAAAAGUCAAUUUGGCAUCUUUGUAUAAGUUUAUUUCUGGAUUCUCUAUUCUGUUUUAUUGAUCACUGCAUCUAUCCCUCUUGAUUAGCUAGAUAAUAAAUCCUACAAUAAGGUAGAAUUCUUCCCACUUUAUUCAUAUUCAAAAUAUUUUAAAGCUAUUCUAGUUUCUUUUUAUUUCCAUAUAUAUUUUAGGAUAAUCUUAUCUAUAUUUACAACAUAUGUUGCUAGGAUUUUGAUAGAAUUUGUUUUAAAUUUGUGUAUCAAUGUAGGGAAGACCUGACAUCUUUACUAUUACGUUGAUCUUCCAAUCAAUGAAUAUGGUAUAUCUCUCAGUUUAUAGCUAUUGUCUUUAAUUUAUUUCAUCAUGGUUUUUAGUUUUCAGCAGAGAAGCUUUAUACAUGUUUUGUUAUACAUGUAUAACAAAAGAAGCCUUAUACACUGACAUUUUAUAUUUUGAACAAUUGUAAAUGGUAUUGUUUAAAAAUUUUGUUGUCUAUGAUAGAAAUAAAAUUGAUUUUUGUAGGUUUAUCUUGUAACCUAUGACUUGCUGAGCUCGCUCAUUAGUUUUUUUAUUGUGAUAAAAUAUACAUGAGAUAAAUUUCAUCAUUAUAAUCAUUAAGUUUAGACAUCAAUUGCAUUAAGUACAUAAAUGCCUUAUGCAACCAUCAUCUCUAUCCAUCUCCAGACCCUUUGCAUCACCCUAAAAUGAAACUCUGUGCCCAUUAAACAAUAACUCCCCAUUCUGCCCUCACCCCAGCCCUUGGUAAUUACCAUCCUACCUUUUAUCUCUAUAAAUUUAACCAUCCCAGGUAACUCAUAUAAGUGGAAUCAUGCAGUGUUUGUCCUUUUGUAACUGGUUUAUUUCACUUAGCAUGAUGUCUUCAAGGUUUGCCUAUGUCAUAGCAUGUGUCAGAAUUUCAUCCCUUUUUAAACUUAAAUAAUAUUCCACUGUAGGCAUAUGCCACAUUUUGUUUAUUUGUUCAUCUGUUGAUGGGCAUUUGGGUUGUUUCCACCUUUUGGCUACUGUGAAUAAUGCUGCUGUGAUCAUGGGUAUGCAACUGUCUCCUGGAGUCCCUGCUAUCAAUUCUUGUGGGUAUAUACCCAGAAGUGGAAUUGUUGCAACAUAUAGUAAUUCUAUGUUUAAUUUUUUGAGGACCUGCCAUAAUGUUUUCCACAGUAGCUACAUUGUCUUAUAUUCCCAUUAAGAGUUCCAAUUUCCUCACAUCUUCACCAAUACUUAUUGUUUUCUGUUUUUUUAAAUAAUAGCCAUCAUAAUAAAAGUAACAUGGUAUCUCAUUGUGGUUUUAACUGCAUUUCCCUUUUUACUGGAUUGUUUGUAAUAUUGCUGUAAUUGAGUUGUAGGAGUUUUUAAAUAUGUUCUGAAUAAUUAAUUUCUUAUCAGAUAUGUCAUUUGCAAAUAUUUUCUGCCAUUCUCUGGGUUGUCAUUUCACUCUCUUGAUAGUGUCCUUUGAUGCACAGAAGUUUUGAAAUUUGAUAAAGUUUAAUUUGCGUAUGUAUUUAUUUUGUUGCUUAUGCUUUUGGUGUCAUAUCCAAGAAAUUAUUGCCAAAUUCAGUGUCAUGAAGAUUUUCCCCUGUGUUUUCCUCUAAGAGUAUUAUAGUUUUAACUCUUGCACUUAGAUUGAUCCGCUUUGAGUUAAUUUUAGUAUAUGGGGUAAGACAAGGGCUCAAAUUUGUUCUUUUGUUUGAAGAUUCUAGGUCAUUUGUGAUCUUUAGGAUUUUCUAUGUAGACAUUAAUGUCAUCUUCAAAUAUGAACAGUUUAUUUCUUCCUUUUGUAUAUGUAUGAAUUUACUUUCCUUUUCUUGCCUUAUUGCACUGGCUAGAGUUUUCAGUACUAUGAUGAAUAAAAUCAGUGAGAGCAGACACCCUUGCUUUGUUUCUAAUCUUAGGAGGAAAGCUUUCAGUCUUUCAUCAUUAGGUAUACUGUUAGUUGUAGGCUUAUUAUAGAUGCUCUUUAUCAGGUUGAGGCAGUUUCCUCCUUGGUUAAGACUUUCUAUUUUUCAUUUUCAGUUAUGACCAGGCAUGUUCAUAACUGCUCAUCAAAACUUUGAAUUAGUGGCUGCUUUAACAUCCUUCUCAGACAAUUCUAACAUCUGUUUUGUUGGUGGUGGCAUCUAUCAAUUGUCUUUUUCAUUCUGUUUGAGAUCUUCCUUGCGUUUGGUAUGAUUUUUUUAAAUAUUAUGUCAUGAAACUGCAUCUUAUUUAAAUCUUCUGUUUUAGUUGGCUAUGUCUGACAUCACUUCCCCAGGGGAAGGUGUUGUUACUGCUAGUGGAGGGUGAGAAUUAUGGCUCUCCACUGACAUUGUGGUGGGAUUGGUCCCAUUACCACUGGGCAGGGUUGAAAGUCCUGACUUUCUGCUAGGCCUUCUCUGACUUCAUCGCAGCAGGAGGAAAAGAUGCCUCUGGAGUUGAAGUCAGGUUGCACUGACACUGUGUGUGUAUGGAGGUAGGCUGGGGUGAAAGUGGAGACUCAUUACCACAUGGUGAGUAGUUUCCAGCUCUCUAUUUGGCCUUCUCUGAUACCACCCAGACAGGGACAUUGGGGAUACCUCAUUACAGCCUAGUGAGGGUCAAACUCUAGGCUCCCCACUCAGUCUUUGCUAUCAUGGACACUGUAGGACCAUAGUUUUUUCUGUGCUGUUUGCUUGAUGUGUCUUCCUUGGACCCUGAGUUCCAUAGCUGGUCUGCAUUCCUCUCUCCACCUUUAAGACGUCUUCUUAUGUUUAUUUCAUAUUUAACAUCCAGGGUGGUAAUUAGAGGGAAGAAUAGAGGGAAAAGUACAGUUGCACUUUGUUGUUCAAAGAGCAGUUUUGAACUGCACAGACCCAUUUCUCUGAGCACACCCAGGGAUGAUUGUACUUGUAUAAAAUUUUUUUCCUGGAUGCAGAAUUCUCAAUUGACUGUGAAAGUUCAUAACAAAGAAAACAGUGGGGAAGACAAAUCUGGAAAUGAGGAAAAUAAAAAUUAAAUAGUGAGACCACCCAUGGAGCUUGUGGCAAAGCCUGAAUUGAAUCCGCUGUAUCUUAAGAUUGUGCCUCAUUCUAAAUUUAAGUCACCCUUCUCAUUAUGAAAGUGUCACAACUUCUCAGUAGGUGAGGAGACAGUCUAAAUUUGAGAAAAGAAAGUUACAACAAAGGUUUUGAGCAAGCUGCUAAGUGGAUUUAUUCAUGUUUGAGAAAUCAAAUAUAUGGUUAAUGAGCUCUUUAACUAGAAGCCAACACUAGGGAGGAGUAGACAGAAGUCACGGGGAGGGAGCCCCCGGACAUUUCAAAAGACUUUGCCCUGCAACAUCUCCUCCACAUUUAAGCUUUUAGGUUAUUGUAGCCACAUCACAAGCAUGUUACCUACCCAGAUAUUGUCUGCGCAUCAUUCCCAAAAGCUUCCCUGGGUCUUCAUAAUAUUAAUGAGAUUCUCCCCCAGGUUAGACCCCUUUGGCUUGAGUCAGAAACAGAAUUAAUCCGGGGGACAAUCCAGCAGCACCCAUCUCUGGGUUGCAGAAAUAUCUGAGGUGACCAGGCAGUGUUUGGAGUCCCCUCAGUUAGCUAACAAAGUGAGUUCACAGCUUCCAAGACCCCAGGCUUUCCAGGCUAAUAAAGAGCUGAGGUUAUAGGCUCUCCUUAUCAAACGCUCUUUGGCAGCUGCCAUAACCAUUCCAAGUCUAGUCCUAGAAUAGAAAUGACGCGGUUUCAGGAGCUGACAGAUGGAACUUUAAGCCUUCCUUCCUGCCACAUCUGAAGUUCUUUUUUAAAAAAAUAGAAAACCAUGACAAUAAACACUCCUUGAAUGCCCUGUGGAAAAGUGUACUCCUCAGAAUUCACUAAAGUGGGGUGAAGCAGUGGGUUGUGGUGCUGAGAAAACAUCUCUUCCCCUCGGCAGUAUAUUGGAAUCUCAUAGAAACUUCUGUGGCUGGGAAGCAAACAUGCUCUCUGCCCCAUUGCUCUUAUUCAUCUUUAGACCUGAUAAUACAGUUUGAACUUCAAGUUGCACUUUAAAUGGCAUGCAUUUUUA